Molecule: long non-coding RNA, 291 nt
Filed under: Taeniopygia guttata (zebra finch)
Lineage: Eukaryota; Metazoa; Chordata; Aves; Passeriformes; Estrildidae
Description: lncRNA (ENSTGUG00000029605.1)
Source: RNAcentral
CCCAUGCCUUGCUGGGACUGGGGACACCCCAGUGACCAGUGACAUCUCCCCAUCUCUCUACAGAAACCAAAAUACCCUCCACCACCGAUGUCUGAGGUGGAGCUUCUGCAGGAGUGAUGCCCGGCUGCCCCUCUGGAUGCCCUGGCCUGGAUCUGGUGGUGACACUCACGUCCUGUCCCUCUCCAGCGGCAUGAGGAGAUGAUCAUCCCUGGAGAACCCCCCUAAUUCCUUGGGAACCCUGGGAAUUUCCCUGGAAUAAUCAAUAAACCCCUUCAGCAAAGCAACUAUGUG